Molecule: ribosomal RNA, 479 nt
Filed under: uncultured bacterium
Lineage: Bacteria
Description: SSU rRNA
Rfam family: Bacterial small subunit ribosomal RNA
Source: RNAcentral
AGGACGAACGCUGGCGGCGUGCUUAACACAUGCAAGUCGAGCGAAGCCCAUCCUUCGGGAUGGUGACUGAGCGGCGAACGGGUGAGUAACACGUGGGCAACCUACCCUCAGCUCUGGGAUAACCCCGGGAAACCGGAGCUAAUACCGGAUAUGACCUCGAGCGGCAUCUCUUGAGGUGGAAAGCUCCGACGGUGAGGGAUGGGCCCGCGGCCUAUCAGCUUGUUGGUGGGGUAAUGGCCUACCAAGGCGACGACGGGUAGCCGGCCUGAGAGGGCGACCGGCCACACUGGGACUGAGACACGGCCCAGACUCCUACGGGAGGCAGCAGUGGGGAAUAUUGCGCAAUGGGCGAAAGCCUGACGCAGCGACGCCGCGUGAGGGAUGAAGGCCUUCGGGUUGUAAACCUCUUUCAGCAGGGACGAAGCGAAAGUGACGGUACCUGCAGAAGAAGCACCGGCUAACUACGCGCCAGCAGCCGC